CCUACGGGAGGCAGCAGUGGGGAAUAUUGGGCAAUGGAGGAAACUCUGACCCAGCAACGCCGCGUGAAUGAUGAAGGUCUUCGGAUUGUAAAGUUCUUUUCUAAGGGAAGAAGAAAGUGACGGUACCUUAGGAAUAAGCCUCGGCUAACUACGUGCCAGCAGCCGCGGUAAUACGUAGGAGGCAAGCGUUAGCCGGAAUGACUGGGCGUAAAGGGGGCGUAGGUGGUGUGACAAGUUGGUAGCGUAACUCCGGGGCUCAACCUCGGCACUACUACCGAAACUGUUGGACUUGAGUGCAGGAGGGGCAAAUGGAAUGCCUAGUGUAGCGGUGGAAUGCGUAGAUAUUAGGAGGAACACCAGUGGCGAAGGCGAUUUGCUGGACUGUAACUGACACUGAGGCACGAAAGCGUGGGGAGCAAACAGGAUUAGAUACCCCGGUAGUC
This 443-nucleotide ribosomal RNA is filed under the name uncultured bacterium. RNAcentral describes it as "partial 16S ribosomal RNA". It matches the Rfam family "Bacterial small subunit ribosomal RNA", at positions 338 to 795 of the family's 1533-position model. The record is from RNAcentral.